Molecule: ribosomal RNA, 253 nt
Filed under: uncultured bacterium
Lineage: Bacteria
Description: partial 16S ribosomal RNA
Rfam family: Bacterial small subunit ribosomal RNA
Source: RNAcentral
UACAGAGGGUGCGAGCGUUGUUCGGAAUUAUUGGGCGUAAAGCGCUUGUAGGCGGCUUGUUAAGUUCCGUGUGAAAUCCCCAGGCUUAACCUGGGAAGUGCGCGGAAAACUGGCAAGCUUGAGUACAGCAGAGGGUCUCGGAAUUCUCGGUGUAGAGGUGAAAUUCGUAGAUAUCGAGAGGAACACCAGUGGCGAAGGCGGAGACCUGGGCUGAUACUGACGCUGAUGUGCGAAAGCAUGGGUAGCAAACAGG